AGUGAACGCUGGCGGUGGGCCUAACACAUGCAAGUCGAACGGCAGCACAGGAGAGCUUGCUCUCUGGGUGGCGAGUGGCGGACGGGUGAGGAAUACGUCGGAAUCUACUCUGUCGUGGGGGAUAACGCAGGGAAACUUACGCUAAUACCGCAUACGACCUACGGGUGAAAGCAGGGGACCUUCGGGCCUUGCGCGAUUGAAUGAGCCGAUGUCGGAUUAGCUAGUCGGCGGGGUAAAGGCCCACCAAGGCGACGAUCCGUAGCUGGUCUGAGAGGAUGAUCAGCCACACUGGAACUGAGACACGGUCCAGGCUCCUACGGGAGGCAGCAGUGGGGGAUAUUGGACAAUGGGCGCAAGCCUGAUCCAGCCAUACCGCGUGGGUGAAGAAGGCCUUCGGGUUGUAAAGCCCUUUUGUUGGGAAAGAAAUCCAGCUGGCUAAUACCCGGUUGGGAUGACGGUACCCAAAGAAUAAGCACCGGCUAACUUCGUGCCAGCCGCCGCGGUAA
Molecule: ribosomal RNA, 506 nt
Filed under: uncultured bacterium
Lineage: Bacteria
Description: partial 16S ribosomal RNA
Rfam family: Bacterial small subunit ribosomal RNA
Source: RNAcentral